GACGAACGCUGGCGGCGUGCUUAACACAUGCAAGUCGAACGGAAAGGCCCUGCUUGCAGGGUACUCGAGUGGCGAACGGGUGAGUAACACGUGGGUGAUCUGCCCUGCACUUCGGGAUAAGCCUGGGAAACUGGGUCUAAUACCGGAUAUGACCUUCCAUGUAGUGUGGGGGGUGGAAAGAUUUAUCGGUGUGGGAUGAGCCCGCGGCCUAUCAGCUUGUUGGUGGGGUAACGGCCUACCAAGGCGUCGACGGGUAGCCGGCCUGAGAGGGUGGACGGCCACAUUGGGACUGAGAUACGGCCCAGACUCCUACGGGAGGCAGCAGUGGGGAAUAUUGCACAAUGGGCGGAAGCCUUAUGCAGCGACGCCGCGUGGGGGAUGACGGCCUUCGGGUUGUAAACCUCUUUCGACAGGGACGAAGCUUCGGUGACGGUACCUGUAUAAGAAGCACCGGCUAACUACGUG
Molecule: ribosomal RNA, 465 nt
Filed under: uncultured bacterium
Lineage: Bacteria
Description: partial 16S ribosomal RNA
Rfam family: Bacterial small subunit ribosomal RNA
Source: RNAcentral